AACAAGGUUUCCGUAGGUGAACCUGCGGAAGGAUCAUUGUCGUUUGCUCGGAAAAACCCGACCCCGCGCCCGUUUCCUUACCCAUCCCCGUCGGGGAAGGGUUGCCUUCCCGGGCCACCGGCCGCGGUCCUCGCUCGGGCCGCGCGCCGGGAAUUUGGCGCGGAAUGCCCCAAGGAACCCGAGAUGCUGACGCGGCCGGCGGAGCGUGCUCCCGCCCGCCGUCGACCCAAAGCAAUAAUACUUGAUGACUCUUGGCAACGGAUAUCUUGGCUCUUGCAUCGAUGAAGAACGUAGCGAAAUGCGAUACGUGGUGUGAAUUGCAGAAUUCCGCGAACCAUCGAGUUUUUGAACGCAAGUUGCGCCCGAGGGAUCCGCCCGAGGGCCCCCCUGCCUGGGCGUUAGAAGCCCAUCCCCGCUCGGGGCUCCCUCAGCCCCGAUGCGGAUUGUGGCCCUCCGAGCCCAAGCGGCGCGGUGGGCCUAAGUGUGCGGCCGCCGGGAGGAGCAGGGAGCGGCGAGUGGUGGAACGCUGCGUGGGCUGCCCCGCGCCCCUUGGCCGGGGCAUGGCCUUGUCCGACCCUCGAACGAGAGCCGCGCCCGCGACGGCGCGGCGCCUUCGGAUCGAUACCCCAGGUCAGGUGGGGCUACCCGCCCUAGACAGAAACACCUCA
This 668-nucleotide ribosomal RNA is filed under the name Schoenus subaphyllus. Its description in RNAcentral is "eukaryotic LSU rRNA". The stretch from base 247 to 401 matches the Rfam family "5.8S ribosomal RNA". The record is from RNAcentral. Lineage: Eukaryota; Viridiplantae; Streptophyta; Magnoliopsida; Poales; Cyperaceae.